This 274-nucleotide ribosomal RNA is filed under the name uncultured bacterium. Its description in RNAcentral is "partial 16S ribosomal RNA". It matches the Rfam family "Bacterial small subunit ribosomal RNA", at positions 523 to 796 of the family's 1533-position model. The record is from RNAcentral.
ACACGAACCGUCCGAACGUUAUUCGGAAUCAUUGGGCUUAAAGGGUGCGUAGGCGGCGCGGUAAGUUGGGUGUGAAAUCCCUCGGCUCAACCGAGGAAUUGCGCCCAAUACUGCCGUGCUCGAGAGAGACAGAGGUAAGCGGAACUGAUGGUGGAGCGGUGAAAUGCGUUGAUAUCAUCAGGAACACCAGUGGCGAAAGCGGCUUACUGGGUCUCUUCUGACACUGAGGCACGAAAGCUAGGGUAGCGAACGGGAUUAGAAACCCCAGUAGUCC